RNAcentral lists this ribosomal RNA (1658 nucleotides) under Helogenes marmoratus. RNAcentral's name for it is "16S rRNA". It matches the Rfam family "Bacterial large subunit ribosomal RNA". The record is from RNAcentral. Lineage: Eukaryota; Metazoa; Chordata; Actinopteri; Siluriformes; Cetopsidae.
ACUUAACAACUAGCUUAACCAUAAUAAUGACAAUACACCAUUAAACCGUUAUAAACAAAUUACUAAGAUAAAACUAAAACAUUCUACCGUCACAGUAUGUGAGACAGAAAAGACCAUAUAAAGCUAUAAAAACGUACCGCAAGGGAUAGUUGAAAAAGAAAUGAAACAAAUCAUAUAAGUAUGACAAAGCAGAGACUAAAUCUCGUACCUUUUGCAUCAUGGUUUAGCCAGUACAACUGAGCAAAGCGUACUUUAGUUCAAAACCCCGAAACUAAGUGAGCUACCUCAAGACAGUCUGAUAAUCAGGACCAACCCGUCUCUGUGGCAAAAGAGUGGGAAGAUCUUCAGGUAGAGGUGACAAACCUACCGAACUUAGUGAUAGCUGGUUGCCUAAUAAAUGAAUAAAAGUUCAGCCCCAUAUCUCCUCCGCUCACCACACUACUACAUAAAAGAACAAGAGAAACAUAUGGAGGUUAAUCAAAAGGGGUACAGCCCUUUUGAUUCAGGACACAACCUUAACAGGAGGUUAAAGAUUAUAAUAAAUAAAAUACAUGCCACAGUGGGCCUAAAAGCAGCCACCUGAGUAAAAAGCGUUAAAGCUCAAGCAAACAAAAUUUAUUAUCCUAAUAUAUUAUCCAAAACCCCUAACCACACUAGGCUACCCCAUGCAAACAUGGGAAAAAUACUGCUAAAAUGAGUAAUAAGAAGACAACAUCUUCUCCUUAAAUCCACUUGUAAGCUAGAUCGGACCAACCACUAGCAAUUAUAGAACCCACAAAAAGAGGGCAAUGUGUAAGCACUAAAAAUCAAGAAAUAAACACACCAUAAAAAUCAUUAAACCUACACCGGGGGAUUAAACUAAGGAUGACUAAAAGAAAAGGAAGGAACUCGGCAAACACAAGCCUCGCCUGUUUACCAAAAACACCGCCUCCUGCAAAUCAAAGUAUAGGAGGUCUCGCCUGCCCAGUGAUUUAUUUAAACGGCCGCGGUAUUUUGACCGUGCGAAGGUAGCGCAAUCACUUGUCUUUUAAAUGAAGACCUGUAUGAAUGGUAGAACGAGGGCUUAACUGUCUCCCUCUUCCAGUCAAUGAAAUUGAUUUACCCGUGCAGAAGCGGGUAUGAACAUACAAGACGAGAAGACCCUUUGGAGCUUAAGAUAAUAGGUCACCUAUGUCAAUACAAUGUAAACUAAAUAGAGAUUGACCUGGCUCUUCAGUUGGGGCGACUAUGGGAGAAAGACAAGCUCCCACGAAGAUUGGGCUAAAACCUAAACCUAAGAAAGACAUUUCCAAGACACAGAACAUCUGACUUUAAUGAUCCGGCUACCACCGAUUAACGAAACAAGUUACCCUAGGGAUAACAGCGCAAUCCCCUCCAAGAGUCCAUAUCGACAAGGGGGUUUACGACCUCGAUGUUGGAUCAGGACAUCCUAAUGGUGCAGCCGCUAUUAAGGGUUCGUUUGUUCAACGAUUAAAGUCCUACGUGAUCUGAGUUCAGACCGGAGCAAUCCAGGUCAGUUUCUAUCUGUAAUGCUAAUUUUCCUAGUACGAAAGGACCGGAAAAUAUGGGCCCAUAUUGUAAAUAAGCCCAAUCCUAAUUUAAUGAACACAACUAAAUUAAAUAAUAGGAAUAGCACAAAACCUAACCUAGACAAGAUU